RNAcentral lists this long non-coding RNA (5384 nucleotides) under Sus scrofa (pig). Its description in RNAcentral is "lncRNA (ENSSSCG00000062119.1)". The record is from RNAcentral. Lineage: Eukaryota; Metazoa; Chordata; Mammalia; Artiodactyla; Suidae.
AGUCUUAGGAGCAAAAUGGGGAAGUCUGGGUGUUCAAAACAAUUCAUUUAGAUAAUGAGACCUUAUUUUGUACCACAAGUCAGUGAAGAGGGACUCAAGAACUACACACAUGAAUCUUUUCCAAGUUUAUAUUAACUUCAAAAUUGUGGAACCCAAUUUCAUCAUGUUUCACUGUGCAUGCAAAGGUGGUCUUGAGUGUCCCUCCCCCCUUCCCUAUUAAUGGAUUAUAAACAUAAUCACUUGAAAUGUCAGAUGGUGUAAAGUGAUCACUUCCAAAAAAGAGCAAGUAAUUCCACCAAUGAUGAGGAGUUUGUGGUUAAGCCCAGAAAACUAAGUUUUCCUAAGUGAAGAGAUUAGCUUGGGUGCUCUGAAGGAUGCAGAGGUGAAAAAAGCCCAGAGAGCUCUCGCUAGUGUUGGGGAUUCUAAGCAUGAAUACAUUACAUUUUAAAUAACACAAGCAUUGAAUUAUUUAAAAGAACACAAUUAGCGUUAUCGGGGAUGGCUGAGGAUGCAGGGAGGGUGUUUGCAACACGGAGGUGACGUCAUUGCUUGUAUUUAUUUUUGAAUGCAUAGACCGUGAUCACCAGGUUGACAACCCACUUUAAUUUUAUGUGUAAGUUAAACAUAAAACACGUAUUUCCUAGAUAAACUGAGACGAUAAUGACAGGUUAUCUCAGGUGAAGGAAGGGAGAUGAAGCAAAAAAGACAUUGGGGUAAUAAAAGUGCAAGGUGAAACUGGGUUGAAGCUAAAGUUUGUUCACACAAAGGAGCAGAAAUAUGCACAAGCACUGAAUUCCCUCAAAAGCAAGAGGGUGAGUUUGGGGAAACAUUGUUUUAAUAUCACUGUUUAUUUAUAGCUUACUACCUUAAAACAUUAUUUUUUGAAUUCCCUUUUUUAUUGAAAUGUAAUUGACAUAAAGCAUUACAUUGGUUUCAGGUGGACAACAUAAUGAUUCAAUAUUAGUAUAUUUUGCAAAGUGAUCACAAUAAGUCUAGCUAACAUCCAUCACACAUAUAGUUACAAUUUUUUUCCUUGUGAUAAGAACUUUUCAGAUUUCCUCUUAUUCACCUUCAAAUAUAGAAUACAAUAUUAUUAACUAGUCACCGUGCUCUACAUUACAUUUCCAAGGCAUAGUUAUUUUAUAACUGAAAGCUUGUGCCUUUUGACCACUUUCACCCAUUUCACCCACCCCACUCCCCCCACCCCCUGCCUUGGACAACCACCAAUCUGUAAAACAUUAGUUUUUAAUCCUCAGGCUAACUAAGAUCAUCUCCAGCCAUCCCAUUCAAUUAUUCAGAACAUUAUUGACCUCAUGAUCAUUAUCAUCCUUAAGGGAAGCCUCAGGCAAAAUUAUAUGCAAGACCAAGGUUCAGUACCCCUAGGCUCUCUUUCAAGUCCUUCUCUGCUUUAGUCGUGGUUGCUCCCCACUUGGGGCUCAGAGCUCUUACCAUGUCUGAGACAGGCCCCUAUGGACAUCUGUUCUAGGAAAAACAAACGAGCAAAUGGAUUCACACUGAGGUGCUAAAAUGUGAGAAAUUUAAUUGUAACUCUCUCUGUGCAAAGCAUUUACAUUAUCAUCAAGGGCAGAGCCUUUCACUGAACGAGGGGUGAUGGCUUGGAUGUUUAGGCUCCAGCUAGUUCAGGGAAGAAAGCCUUAGCAGGUGUUGAUUUUUUUUUUUUUUCACCCUAGAGCUCACCUCAUGGACAUAGUCCCCUGCUGUUUGUUCCUACCCCCCCACCCCCAUCACUUUUUAUCUACAUUAUGACAGCAGCCUUCUGGUUGGUCUUUCCCUUUUGUAAGCCUUUCUCCAUAAUAGGACUAGUAAACUAAAAGGUUAUAAAGCCUAUAUGUCAGAAUAAUAUUGAAAUUGCCACCUCACUCCGGAGCUUCUCAUUACCCAUUAGGGCAAAUCGGAAUGUCUCAAACCUAGCGAUAAUCGAAGAUUCUUUUUCAGUUACUGUGAAUAGUCCCUCUUGUUCUUCCUUAUGUCUCUACAUUGUCCAGGCUUUAACACCCACGAAUCCCCAGCUUCCCCUGUAGUCCCAACUCAGCCAUCAUCUCUCCUCACCUGUUGUUUCAGAUUACAGACUCACUUUACUUGCCAUCUUUCUUUCUCACCCUGCUCAUCCUGAUCACUCACUUUUCCUGUGCAAUUUUAUGUCUUUCUUCAAGUUUUUCGGACUUAUAACUAGGCAUUUCCUGAUGUCUAUGUCGCUUUGGAUGUGCCAUUUUUUCAUAUUGCUAUUGGUGUGAGAUUCUCAGUAAAUAAGGACAAGGCAGCUUCUUACUAUAGACCUUACUAGACGCGAGACGUCUCUCAUACAUUGUUAACAAUCCCAGCAGGACGUUGUUAUUCCUACUUUGUACAUGAGAAAACUGAGUCAAAGAGGGGUUGGGAAGCUUGACCACACUUAGCUGAUAACUAGCAGAGGGAGGGUGUUAGUCCCACUCCUUGUGGACACACUUUUAUAUUAUUCACAUUUAUACUGGUCUGUGUAGGGAGAAGCCUUGCUUUUGUGGUGAAGGAUUUCGUUUUUGAAAGCCUAGGAAAUGUGCGUUUCUGAGGAUCUACCCUUUCAAAUUAAAAACUGAAGAUUCGGAUACUACUAAUGUGACAGGCAUUGGCAAACACUGCUUAAUUCAUCUCACGUCAGUCUCUGGUCACGUGAUGGUAAUAUAAUUUCACCCGAUUCCAGCCACACAAGAAACUGACAACCUGAUGCCCUGGGAACUGAGUCCUCCAGUUAAAUUCCCCAACCCUCACUUUGAAGAUUUAUGGUAUCAUAUCAUGAACAUGUCUCCCAUAGCAUCAAAAAUACAAAAUUGUUUGUGGUAGUUAUUAUACCUUUCUACUUAUUGAUCACAUAUUGAUGGACAGUGAAACCUGCCAGGGUUAAACCAAGGAGAGACUAGGAGAUAAAAUUAAAAGGAAUAAAAUAUAACACUCUAAUUGCAUUUGUGGCCAAGGGACCUACAUUAUACAGCAACCAGCGUGUAACAGUGUACUUCAUGUUUCAUGAUUUACCUUGCUGAUAAUUGCUUUGCACUCCUAAUAAAUUAACCCACAGAAAACCCAUUCAUCUGCAUCUUCUUUUUAUGCAGAGCUAGAGGAAAAAGGACCAGUAUAGCAAUUUGAGUGGCAAUCAUGCACUGAUUGUAGCAAAGAAAGUAGCGUGGUGAGAGUCUUAAGCAUUCUGAAAGCAUUUCUUUGUAAGAAAAGAGGAAGGAAAAAAGAAGAGAGGGCUUUUGUUAAUUAAGUUCUGUUUUUUGUCUCAUUCGUUAUGGAGAAUAUAUUAUAUUCUAGGUCAGAAAUGCUUGUUUAAUACCGUAUAUUUCCAGCCAGAUAUUUUAUUUUGAUAUUGUUAAUUUAUUUUCUUUAAAUAUUCAUAGAAAAUUCUCAUUGUUAUAUUUAAGAUUCCUGGAAGGAAAGAAUGUAAAGUACAUUAUUGUAUUCCUAAGGGGUUCCUUCCAUAGAUGUUAUUCCACAGUAAAUCUUAUAUUUCAUGCCGCUCAGUUUUUUUUUUUUUGGUUAGACUCUGUAAUCAAAAUAAUUUUUUAUACUCUACUUUUAUUCUAACAUAUCAUGUGCUUUUAAUACAUCAUGCUCUGCCUAGUGCCUUGGUUUCACCUAGCUUACGUGAUCCUUGGAAUCAACAUGGUGCAGUGGAAAAAAGUUGAAGGAGUGAGGAGUCGGGAUUUCUAGUUUCCACCUUGCUACUGAAUUGGACUUAAUAUUGGCGUUAUUGUUGUAUUUACCUAAGUCUCCAUUUUCAUUCUCUUAACAUAGGGGGAUUAUAGGAGAUAAUCUCUAAGUUCCUUUACAAAUUCCAGAAUAUGCAGAAAAAAAUAUUGUGGGUAAGGUUCACAGAGGCAUGUGACUUUCCCACUUUCGUAAAGGUGGGUAGGCAGGGGAAGAAGGACAAAACUAAUUCUGCUUCCAGCAAGAUGGCAAACUUGACACCCUGGCCGACUAUCCUACAGCAAACACCUAAAAAUGCUGCUUAGUAGAGUUUUUUGUUUACUAUUUACUAUUUAUUUAUUUUUUGCUUUUUAGGGCCAUACCUGCGGCAUGUGGAAGUUCUCAGGCUAGGUGUCAAAUUGGAGCUACGGCAUCUGGCCUUCACCACACCCACAACAGCACUAGAUCUGAGUUGCGUCCAUGACCUAUACCACAGCUCACAGCAGUGCCAGAUCCUUAACUCACUGAGCGAGGCCGGGGUGAAAACCCACAUCCUCAUGGAUUCUAGUCUGGUUUUUACCACUGAGCCACUAUGAGAACUCCAUGUUUUUUAAAAAGACUCUGUAGCUGCAUCAUUGAACUGCCAAAAAAAUAAUAAUCCCAUUGGUGGAGCGUUGAAGAAAAAAAUAUAGGAAAUGUGGUUAUAUUUGAAUUUCAGAGAAACAGAAAUACUUUUUCAGUGUGAGUAUAUCCCAAAUACUGCAUGGGAUACACUUAUGCUAAAAAAUUAUUUGCUGCUUGUCUCAAAUUCAGAGUUAAUUGGGCAUUCUGUAUUUUUAUUUGCUAACUCUGACAACUUAGAGGCUAAAAACUAAGUGAAAGCAGGGAUCUGGAGACAUAAAGGAGAACUGAAACUGCUUUCGUAAUGACGGUAUUUGCUGAAUCCAGAUGAUCUUGAGCUUUGUCUUUUCCAUUUCCACAGCAGAGCGGUGAGGAAGGGAACUAAUAAGAGCUCCAUUGAAUAAACUAUGAUCCCCAAAGACUUCACCCUCACUGUUGAGGUAACUAGAAUUAAAUGUGGUCCCUGUCCUGAAUUGUAUAUGUGGAAAAGGGUAGCAUGGAUAGCAAUACACAUAUUUCUCAUUUCAAACCUUAGUGUUGGCUGGGGAAAAAGAAGUCCACUCAGAGUUAUAUACUAUCUGAAUUAUUUACCCUGCUGGCCUCCAUAAACUCAAGUCAGUAAUUCAGCUUAAAGUAAACCUUAUUAACGGUGUGACCAGGCAUUCUGGAAGAAGCAAAGGUGAAUCGCUUGGAAAAAUCCCACAUUGAACCCAAGUCUCAAAAAAUUCCCGUAUAUGGACAUCCAAGGAAGAUAAACUCACAUACAUAACAAAACAUAUGAGGAAAUAUGGCACUAUGAAUGAGAGCAGAAACAAAAGUCAGUAGAGUUCUAAAGACUGCAAAUAUUGGAAUUAAUAGGAAACAUAAAAUAUAUAGUAUUAGUUUGUAAAAGAGGUAAAAAAGAUUGAAAAUGAGUAAAUCCUAAAAACAAUGAUCAAAUGGAUUUUAAAAAAUUCAAGUAUAAUUUUUAGAAGUGAGAAAAUAAUAUUUGAAAUUAAAUAUUCAAUAGAUAGAAACACAAGAUUACAUCUAUACACACUAAGGUGUAACAUGAUAUGAUAUAUUUGAAGGGUAUCUAUAAU